RNAcentral lists this unclassified non-coding RNA (549 nucleotides) under Hevea brasiliensis (rubber tree). Lineage: Eukaryota; Viridiplantae; Streptophyta; Magnoliopsida; Malpighiales; Euphorbiaceae. The record is from RNAcentral.
AUUCAAGGUGGUGAACUCCAUACAUUUCCUUGCUUAAUGAUACUAGUGAUUUCCAUUUCAGAUUUAUUUACGUGCAUUUCCUUCCACAAAACUAUGAAAUUGAUUUGGAAGCUCCUGAGUAGAUGCCCACAAGCCUUCACACUAUCAUGGAUUCUUUCUCAUUCCAUCUAUGUGGUUGGUGCAUGAACUUUUUGAAUCAUUGUAUAAAAAAAGGCUCUUUAAAAUUGUCCAUUAUUCACCGAUUAUCCUUAAAUUCUUUCUCCUUUUUUUUUUUAGAAUGUCUACUUUCCCACCUUUGUUUGGGGUAGGAGAUUGUGUUUAUUAUUUACGAGUCUGUAAGGGAUGACAUACUAUAGAAAGAAUCGAAUCUAGGAUAUAGAAUGUUUUACACGAGAUGAUGUUUAGAGACUUCUCUCUAAGCCAUGGGAGUGUAAGGUUCAGCUUCAGCAUGUCGCAAGAGGAGGGAACUAGUGCGGAUUUUUCGGGCCAAAUCCACCAUGAAAAGAGUGUUGGAAAUCCUGCAUGGGAAAUGUAUGAAAUGAAAGGGCG